CUCGAGGCAGAUGAGGGUCAGCCUUGAAGGCCCUUCCAUAGGGAUGGAAACUGCCAAUGCUGGCAUUUCUCAUCCCUCAGCUCCUGGCAUGGGAUAGAAUCCAAAGCCUUUUGGGAAUGGGAACAGGGCAAUUUCUCAUCCUGGGCGCUUGGGGUGGCUCCGUCUCUCCGAAGUGGCUGCAGUGUCUGUGUCCUUGGGCAAGGGGAAGGCAGGAGAUGGAGACAUGGGUGCUGCUCUGCCCUGAGGAACCAGUGCAUCUCCCAGGCUUGUGGUUUCCAGCCUGCAGCCCCCCUUGAAGAUGCUUUGGCAGCCCCUGAAUACAGUGGUGGGAGCUCUGUGGAGCAGAAGGCAGCUGACCACGUGCUCUUUCUCAUGCUUUCCUCGAUAUUUGGGAAAAGGUCUCCGCCAGUCUCGAGUGAAGUUUGGAAGCUGCAUGAAGAGGGACAGAAGCAGCUCGUCAAGAAAGCAUUUGCAGACAUCCCCAUCCUCAGAGCCCCAUCCUCUGCCUCCUGCUGUGACUGCACAUGCUGGGGUGGUACAAAAGGACAUUUUGGGUGCCCUCAUCCUGUGAAGACCCAUAGAGGCAUUGCUUGGCCUUGCCUGCUGCACAAACUGCUUCACUCCUUGCAUCUGCCAUCAUCAGUCCUUGCUGGGCAGGUUUUGGGCUGCCCUGCACCCCCAGCUGACAGGAGAGAAGUGGCUCCCAGCCUGAUACUCUUCCCCAGGGCCAUAUCCAGGCACUGUGGCUCCUCAGCAGGGACCUCUUCACCAGGGCAUCUUCUCUGGGGACCCGGGCACCCUCAUCUCCCUCACCUUCCAGCACCAGCUGAGCAGGAUGCUGCGGUGCCAGGCAGGAUUUCUGCUCACCUGGCACAAGCCCAGGGAGCUGUCAUCUCACCACUGCCGUGCUGCUAAGCAUCAGGCAUCCAGCAUCACUGCCCCAAAACCCAGCUUCAGAGAAUCCACCUGGCAAGCUGCAAGUGUGAGCAAAUGCAUCAUGGUGCACCAGUGUCUUUAAAAGCUUCUGCAGGACUGUGAGCACAUUAAAUACCAGUUUUGGUACAGCACUGUGCAGGGAACAGACCCUGGGGAACACAGCCUUCAGGAGCUGGGAGUGCCUGCAUCCAUUUGACUUCCCCACUCCUUUUAUCAUGCCACUUUUAAACAUGCCACUUGCUAGUGUAUUGUAAGUGUCCUUUUGUGCCUUUGCACUGUGAAAUGAAGUCCUGGGACAAUGCUCUCCCCACUGUUAUAUGAUAAACUAUUUUAAUUCAUUUUCCUUUGAAUUUUUCACCAAUUUGCUGAUCUGAUUUGGUGAAGGGACACUUCUCCAAACCACCAGGUUUUCUGCUCUCAUUUUCAACUCUGUGUUUACCUGCCUCAAUCAUUGCUAAGUAUGAGGUUUGUGUUUGCUGGUAGUCAGGGCAUUUCCCAGGGCAUGACCUCAGCACUGAGGACCAUGAUGGCCUCAGGGGUUCCUAUGGGCAAUGAGCAGGGAAAACAGGCACUGGUCAGACAGAACAGCCUGGAGGGAGGUGUCAGCACCACAGCCAUUGAUGGGGUGUGAGGAGAGUUGGGAUUCACUGGCCUGGCAGUGACCUGGGCCCUUUGCCAGCCUGGCAGCAGCACUAGGUCCUUGAAAAGUGAAGUUCCCAGGAUCUCAGUGACCAGCAGUGCUGGGUGUGUGGCCAGGGUGGGCAGAGUGUUAAGCAGCUGAUUGGGGUGGUGAUGGAUGAGCAAGGUGUUUGGGGCUCAUUAAUUUCCUGGCAGGGAUCAGCUUGUCGCAUCCUGUAAUGCAAUCAAAGUGGGAACACAUCUCACUCAGGGAGCACCAGGAGCACUCAGUGCAGAGGCAGAUCACUGCCUUGCAGCAUCCUCCAGCUGAUAAAAAAUGGCUGUGAGAGUUUAGCCCUGCUAAAUGCUGGGUAUGGCUCAGCCUUGGCUCUGUAACCCUCAGCAGGAGUAAUGCUACUAUUUGGCUGAUUUCUCCUGACUGCCCAGCAAAGGUGGCUGUGCAGGGGAGGUUAGAGCUUAGUGCUGCCUUGAAACCCCGCCAUCCCUGGGUUACAGGUGUCCUGGGAAGCCUCUGCCCUCUGGGAGUCUGGAUUGGCUGAACCACAGACCACAGCACUGGUGGUGGUCGUUCUUCCUUCCCCUCCUGCCACUGCAUCCAGCUUUGGGGCUUGCUGGGAUCUCAAGAGCAGGGUCUCAGUUGUUGGCCAGGGGCAAUUUCCCUGCUCCAGAGGUAUUCUGGUGCAGCCAGGCUUGCAGCAACGUGUGACAGGUUACAGCCAGCACUCCUGCAGCUGGAGGAUGCUGUGGGACAGGGCUGCAGUGGGAGGUCAGGGCAGAUGAGCUUGUACUCCCUCCCAGCCUGAAACUCCCCAAAUCCCCAGCCUUCUCUCCAAGAAGCUCCACUUCCUGUCUUCCAAAGCACUGGGAGAGAGAGGAAACCGAAAGAUUUAAAAAAAGAAAAAGGUCCCGGUGGUGACAAACAUGAUCAGCAUGGCUGUGAGCCAAGGCACCGCUCACCCACCCAGGGGACAGCUCAAGGGACACACACAGCCCCUCCAGCUGGGCCUAGGGCAGGGGGGAGGUUGUUUUUCCGGUUGCAGCGUUGUUCUGCAGGACCUGAAUAAACACCCAGCCUGGUGCA
Long non-coding RNA from Cyanistes caeruleus (blue tit), 2656 nucleotides. The record is from Ensembl. NCBI's taxonomy places the organism in Eukaryota, Metazoa, Chordata, Aves, Passeriformes, Paridae.